GGUUGAAGCUCAGUAGGUAGAGUGCUUGCCUGGCAUACAUGAAGCCCUGGGUUCAAUCCCCAGCACCA
This 68-nucleotide transfer RNA is filed under the name Neotoma lepida (desert woodrat). It matches the Rfam family "tRNA". Rfam says of the family: Transfer RNA (tRNA) molecules are approximately 80 nucleotides in length. Their secondary structure includes four short double-helical elements and three loops (D, anti-codon, and T loops). Further hydrogen bonds mediate the characteristic L-shaped molecular structure. tRNAs have two regions of fundamental functional importance: the anti-codon, which is responsible for specific mRNA codon recognition, and the 3' end, to which the tRNAs corresponding amino acid is attached (by aminoacyl-tRNA synthetases). tRNAs cope with the degeneracy of the genetic code in two manners: having more than one tRNA (with a specific anti-codon) for a particular amino acid; and 'wobble' base-pairing, i.e. permitting non-standard base-pairing at the 3rd anti-codon position. The record is from Rfam by way of RNAcentral. Lineage: Eukaryota; Metazoa; Chordata; Mammalia; Rodentia; Cricetidae.